CUAAUACCGUAUGAUGCAGAGAUGCCAAAGAUUUAUCGCCUUGGGAUAAGCCCGCGUCAGAUUAGGUAGUUGGUGGGGUAAUGGCCUACCAAGCCUGUGAUCUGUAGCUGGUCUGAGAGGACGAUCAGCCACAUUGGGACUGAGACACGGCCCAAACUCCUACGGGAGGCAGCAGUGGGGAAUCUUGCGCAAUGGACGAAAGUCUGACGCAGCCAUGCCGCGUGAAUGAUGAAGGUCUUAGGAUUGUAAAGUUCUUUAGCCUGUGACGAUGAUGACGGUAACAGGAGAAUAAGCCCCGGCUAACUUCGUGCCAGCAGCCGCGGUAAUACGAAGGGGGCUAGCGUUGUUCGGAAUUACUGGGCGUAAAGCGCGCGUAGGCGGUUUUACAAGCCAGAGGUGAAAUGCCUGAGCUCAACUUAGGAAUUGCCUUUGGAACUGUAUGGCUUUGAGGACGAGAGAGGUGAGUGGAAUUCCCAGUGUAGAGGUGAAAUUCGUAGAUA
RNAcentral lists this ribosomal RNA (500 nucleotides) under uncultured bacterium. RNAcentral's name for it is "bacterial SSU rRNA". It matches the Rfam family "Bacterial small subunit ribosomal RNA", at positions 163 to 696 of the family's 1533-position model. The record is from RNAcentral.